UACAAUACGUCAGUGAUAUAUAUAUAUAUAUUAUGGUCGUAGAUAGCAAUUGCUAACGCAUUUACAAUGCGUGGACAUUCAGCAGCUUUUAAAGUGUCUGUAGAAUGGUCGUGUUAAGUUAAUCGUAUGUGUUCCGUUUUAAGUACAGUUUUAUGGCUUAGAGCGCAGCUUUUAGGGCCUGACAUCUGUGAAUAAGAAGGCUUAGGUCCAUUGUAAUGUGACACCAUGUGGUCUGGCAUCAACUUGUGAGAAACAUAACUUCAUCCAGCUUGGGAAAGGAAACACGAAUGGUGUGAUGUUCUACUAUAUUACCUUCGAAACACUGAGUCUUCGGGAGAUGCUUGGGAACUUCACGGGUGCUUGGACCAUUCUGGGAUGCUUAAGCCAAGACGGGGUUUAGAAUUCCACACCUUGAAUAUUAAGAUUUCAGAAGAAAGUAAUGUCAUACGCCAGCAAAUACAGUAAUUAGACUUGAAGGUGAAAACAGGGAGGGGUGUGCUAGCCAAACUAGUACCUAAAAAUUCAGAACAUGAAGACAGUGCCCUGGAAGCAAGCCUGGCCCAAUCAGACGCUACAACAUAAGCAUACAGCAAUGCAGAGAAAUUAUAAGCCCCCUUUUCCAAUUUGGAAAGUAGGGCAGUAGCUAAACUCUGGCAGCUCAUCCCUGUAAAUAGGUUGGUGGGUUAGUGUAUGAUAGGCACAGGCUGCUACUAAGGCAUGAGCAGAUGUGACUGGAGCUGAGUUUGCUGGAAUGUCAGAAGGUAAGAGGAGGAGUUACUGGAGAAGCACCAGUGCACCUGCAGGAAGAAGACUGGAUGAAGGUAACAUAACAUUUUGCUGUGUGGUGCUCUUACGCUUCCUGGCCUCCUUUAUGUGCAGCCUCAACACUAGAUUGAAAGAAAUGCUGUGCCAACUUUGCCACUGGGGAGAAGGGGCCAUAAGUCCUCGUGGAUAGAAGGGAGGGUGCCCCCAGGUUACGUCUUUCCCCGUCAGCAAUUGAACCUUGAUUGGGUUUUGAAAGAAAUGGGUAUAUAAUGCAAAGCUUUCUUAGGACUUUCACAUAUUGCUCGUGGAGUUUUAACAGAUUUUUUUAAAUGUCAGUAGCUUGAAUGUGAUAUGUUUGGUCCAUGGAACUGCACCUCACUAGACAUUCCCCUCUCUGACCUGCAGAAGGGGUUCAUUUUUACCUUAACAGACAGAUCAUUUAAUAUUUCUGCAGAUGCAGUCUGUGAGUACCAAUUAAAAGAGUGCUUGUUCUUGAUCAGUCUCCAUGGAGGUGGUGUAAUAUAGAGCUGGUGAUUGCUUCACACUGCAGAGUGAUUCUUGAAUGGUAUCAGUUUCAUGUAUGUCCACUGUUUUAAAUUAAUACACCCAAUGAUGUGUUCUGUGUAUUCAGCUGCUUGUUUGACACAUCAGUGAAGGAUGUGUUGAUUAUCAAAUAAGUGUUUUAUUCAAGGUGAAGACAUUCCAUGAGAACUGUAAGCUAUGAGGAAACUGAACAAAUGAAUGGUGGUUACACAUAGGUUUUUCUGGUGGCCUGUGAUAGAGAAAAUGUGUGUAAUUUGUGUAUGAGUUGCCCUUGAUGGUGUUGUGGAAUGCAGGGACAAGUAGAAUAUGGCAUGGUAGUUACAGCUGUCCAUCCCCAGCUGCAAGGAGUCCAUGGCCCAUAUAUUAUGGGUGUAUGGAAUGGCACAUGAAAUUGAGUAGAACAGUAGCAAGCAGAUGUCUGUGUGGCAUAGGUGGAGGGCCUGUGCAAGAGGACAGAUGGGUGACUGCCAGAUUGUUGCAGGGGCAGUGGUCCAUUAGCACAGCCAUCAUCACCCCGAUGUGCUGGUAUUUCAUAAAUUGUUAGUGAGAUGGAUGCCCAAGGAACUUAUCACACAACAGAAGGGCCACCUCACACCAAAAGUACCACUUGAAGCAAGGGUCAUGGGUUCAUCUUCAGUGCAUCCUAUGGUAAUUAUUUUCCAAACAAUUUAGGAGUGACCCAGAGGACAAACAAUUGACCAUGGAUAUGCAGCAGUCAGAACUGACAGGAAUCAUUGGUUCCUGGCCAGAAGGAUUUUUAAUUAACAAUCAGGUGGCCAUUUAAUGCUAUAAAAUCUAAAUUAGCAGGGCCAGUUGCAUACCUUCUGCUUUACAAUAUGGAAUGGAACAAUGAGUUUGUUCCUGUGCUGUAUAAUUAGUUUGUCUGGCACACAGGUGUGCUUCUAUGGUCAGGAGGUUAGUCUACAUGACAUGCAUUAGCAAGGUAUGUGAACUGUGUGAAGGUAGAGGCAUAUAGACCUGUCGCUGAGGCAAAUCAUCUUGAACUCUUCACAGUGUUGUUAACACUCAUUGAGAUUGGAGUAGAAUGCAAAAAGAGUGUGUUACAAUAAUUCCCUGGCAUUGAGGGAGCAUGUGAUGCAGUAUUUAGUUGCCAGAAGACGAGUUGGAGCUACUGUUUAUCGCCCCCCAUGCUAGAAAACAGGAUUAAGGGAGCCUCACUUGUGGAGGAUAACCUAAGGAUGUCUUUGGGGGGAAGUUUAGACAUUUCUGCUGUGAAUCCUUGUAGGGCUCAAUGUUGCUGGCUGCUGAGCAGUAGGAUGUGCGAAUGAUACUGUUACCCCAAUAAAUGGUAAACUGGGGAUAUCACAGAUGCUCCUCAGAGUGGUGCAGGACUGUUAUAACAUGUGGGCUGUCUCAAGGAAACAGACUGGCAAAUACAUUCUAAGGCAAGAUUGUUUCUUGGAAACCAACUGAUUACAGAGCACAGUUUCCAGGGAUACAGAAACUGAAAGUUGUAAACACUUAGAAUAGCAAACCAUUGUUUGGGAAUGAAUACGUGGUUUCCAAGACAGUACAUUCAUGAACAGGAAUGGAACCCUUUGAGGCCAUGAUCUCUCUUUGGACUGCGUGGCAAUUACAAAAGGCAGUGAAUUCGUGAAUUUGAGAGAGCAGAGACCAGUCAGAUUCGUCAGACAUUCAGGAGUUCAAUAUGUGAGCUGUUAUAAUUGAUUGUAAUUGUAAAGAAGUGCCAGUAAACCCAAUCAUCAAAUCCAGAACCCAUUAUUAAUCAUCACACUAUCCCCUUGUACAUGACAAUAUAAUAACCAUACUGUUUACCAAAAAAGAACUUGACAUGGGUGGCUUUUAGAACAAGCUUUCCUUGGUAAUAGAUAUGCAGCAGUCCACUGAAAUCAUCUUGUGAUAACAUUGAAGAGAAGACAGGUGGAUAUUACAACUGGACAUGAUAAAGAAGACAGCCUUGCAGGGACUUCUAGACCUGUACAGAUGGCAGUAAGAUGCUUCAUUAUUUAUGUUGCCUGAAUUAGGUGCCGUCACAAGCUAGCACAGCUGAAUCCGAUAAAUUACAAAUGACCGGCUGUGCAGGUGUAAUUUUACAUGUAGCUGUGGAUAUGACUUCAGCAGUCACAGUUGAAGUUCUCCUGUGAGUUCAGUACAUCUGAUUGAGGCAGAUGCUCUUGCCAGAAUGCGUGCAUUUAUGGCCUGUAUAGGAAUGCAACAUGCAUGUGCAGUUCCUUUCAUGGACCUAAUGGAGGAGUCCCAGAAAUAUAACAGAAUUCACUCUCUACUGUUGUGAAAGUGUGUGGCAACCAGAAAGUUAGAGCGAUGUGCAAGUAUUGUGGUGUAGUUUCUGAAUGAGAUUCAAAUUCUCUUUUUAAAUGAGCAAACUUUCCCCCCCCCCUCCCGAAUGUUACUCCAAAGUUUUGCCUGCUACAUACUGUGAUUUGGGCAAUGAAAGCAGCCAUGUUGUUGGUGAAGUAAUGGUACUACUCCUAGUUUUGAGACAUGAAUGAAGAAAUUGUUUUGGUUAUAGGAUGUAAAAUGAUGGCACUCUGUUUAUUUCACAAACCUGGAGCAUUGCAACCGCAAGAAUUGUAACACUGGAAUCUUGUCAUGCAGUGAAGUUUAACUGAAGCACAUGAUUCCUCCCAGAUUAGCUUGAAAUUAGUCUGGGACUGUCUGCUGUUGCCUGCAACACUGGCACAAUGUAAACGCUGCAAGUGAUAUGGUGUGUUGACAAACUGGGGCUCUGCGUGGUUAUUCAUAGGGCCAGACACUGCCUGUGGCAUGCCUGGUGGACCUCUCUGGGAGGGGGAGUAUAGCCACCUGGAGUAUUGGCAGUCUAUAUAUAACUGGACACAGCCACAUGAACAGUCUCUUUAAGUUCAUCAGUUUAAGAUGAUCUCUGUUUCAGUGUUCAAAUCCACUGUUCCACAAAGAAACCUUAAUGGUGGUUUUGCUGCAUAAUGCUUUUGGGAGCCCUUAGUAAAUAAGUACUGCCACUUUGGAGCAUGUCUUUCUACUCCAGGGAGUGUCAUGGGGUCCCAGUCAGGAAAUGGUUUUUGUUUGUUGAAGGCACAAGGUCACUGAUGGGAAUGGUUAUAGUGCUGAAGCAGUUUGUUAUCAACCCCUGUGCUAACUAAUGAGAUUAAUGGUUUUAUGUGUAAAGAACCUCAGAAUUUUGUUGCUAGUUGUGCAUGGAUAUGCAAACAUUUGUGUGCAAUGCACAGUUUGGGAUGAACUCUGUAACAUAUCCACUGGCACAGAGUUGUUACCCUAGCUUUUGGUUACUGUUUAUGGUUUUGACAGUGUGUCUUGACCACUGAGUGGCCAUAGCCAUCUGCAAUCCCCGGUUGUAAAGGAGUAGUGAGACUAUGUAUAAUUCAUAAUGGAGGCCAGUGUUAGAGCACCACAUUCUGUUGUCUGUGUACCACUUGGAUCUCAAUAAAGAUCAGAAGCCACGUUAAUUAUAUCCAUGUCCAAAUCGUUACAUAAAACAUGGGUUUCUGUAAUGAUUUCAAGUAGAUUUGUUUUUUCCCCCAAAAUUGUGUAUUCACAUACUGUGCCUUUGUAUUUCUCAUUGUUUCCGUUUUUCUUAAAAUUUAUGGAAUGUUCUACCUUGCAUACCCAGAGGUCUUGUCUGUUAGUGAAAAAGUUUAUAAAAAACUAUCAUUAGGUGAAAUUUGAUAUUCUGCCUACAAGUAAGUUUCAUUGUGUUAGGAAAUUAAAUCUGUCACUGGUAGUGAAGCCAUCGGUUUGGGAAAUGUCUGUACAUGUGGCCUGUCAUAAAAAAACAGUAAUUUGUAACUGUUAAAACAAUUCAAGUAGGAGUAAAAAGAAAGGUAAUUUACGUUGAUGUUAAUCGCAAUAUGUGGCCUUGCCAUAAGACUUUGAGUUAUUGUACUGUGUGCGUAUGCCAGUGUCAUGUGGCUCGUUCUUGUGCAUCAAGUUUUUUUUGUUAGCGCGCCAACAAUAGUAUCUAAAAUUGCCUGUAGGUGGCGAGAUCAUCGACUAAGCCAAAUCUUAGUUCGAGAAUGUGACAAAAGAUGGCGCAGGCAUGCAAUAAUAAUAAUAAUGGCGGAUGAGAAUUUAGUAGACCUGUACCCUUGGAAUUUUGGCAUGCGAACAUAGUAGUACAAUGAUGUGACUAUAGAUGGCAGAGAGUUGAGCAUUCUUUUUUUGCAUACCUCCGCCAUCUAUUGGUAAAUUUGGAUAUUAUGAGCGUGCUAACAGAAAAUCUUG
This is a long non-coding RNA of Cryptotermes secundus, 5529 nucleotides long. RefSeq lists it as uncharacterized. The record is from RefSeq and is a predicted model, not a curated record. Lineage: Eukaryota; Metazoa; Arthropoda; Insecta; Blattodea; Kalotermitidae. The transcript is spliced from 4 exons.